ACGAGCGGCUCCACGCUGCCUUUCCCCAUUGGCUAGUGGUUGCGCCCGCCCUCGGCCCUAGACAGUUGUCGGCCGCUGAUUGAAGCAGGGCCGGCUGCCGGAAGCGGAGGCGACGGCGGCGGAAGCGGCUUGACCGCCAUUUUGGGAAGGGGCAACAGUGAUGGCAGAGGCUGAGCGACGCAGGUGUCAAGGGGGGGGGGUCUUGGCCGUGGUUGUGCGCCUGCUGAACAGUCCCUCUUACCGCUGUUUCGGGCCCCACUUUCUCCCAGAAGACCCUGCGGACCUUUCCGCCAAGGACCCCGACUAGUGGCGCAGGUCAGGGGCUCCGGUGUCAGCCGCGAACCCAACUGGGCAGGCCGGGUGGGCGGCCGCCUCUGGCGAGGCCCCGGCGCCCACGGGACCCGCUGACCGUGUCCGGAUUUCCUCAAGCAGCCCGGCUGCCCACCGCUUGCACCCGGCGCCCGCAGCCGCCGCGCGUGGGCUGACGGACUGGCUCGGACGACCUCCCCUAGGAAGAGCGAGGUCCGUGGCUUACGGGUCCGAAGCAGCCCGCCUGGGACUGGGGAAGGAAAUAGCCUUAGGUUUGUCCCCACUCGAGGAACAGUUCCCCGCACAAGCUCCGGAAGCCUGGCCGAGGUGGCUGGCCGCCGUCUGCGUCGCAGCGGAGCGCUCAGAGCUCCACACGGUCUGGAACUGCAGGAGGAAGAAAGCAUCUACUGCAC
This is a long non-coding RNA of Phyllostomus discolor (pale spear-nosed bat), 722 nucleotides long. RefSeq lists it as uncharacterized. The transcript is spliced from 2 exons. Lineage: Eukaryota; Metazoa; Chordata; Mammalia; Chiroptera; Phyllostomidae. The record is from RefSeq and is a predicted model, not a curated record.